Molecule: ribosomal RNA, 204 nt
Filed under: Vibrio parahaemolyticus
Lineage: Bacteria; Pseudomonadati; Pseudomonadota; Gammaproteobacteria; Vibrionales; Vibrionaceae
Description: partial 16S ribosomal RNA
Rfam family: Bacterial small subunit ribosomal RNA
Source: RNAcentral
GCGCAUACAGAGGGCGGCCAACUUGCGAAAGUGAGCGAAUCCCAAAAAGUGCGUCGUAGUCCGGAUUGGAGUCUGCAACUCGACUCCAUGAAGUCGGAAUCGCUAGUAAUCGUGGAUCAGAAUGCCACGGUGAAUACGUUCCCGGGCCUUGUACACACCGCCCGUCACACCAUGGGAGUGGGCUGCAAAAGAAGUAGGUAGUUU